Molecule: transfer RNA, 71 nt
Filed under: Utra nitida
Lineage: Eukaryota; Metazoa; Arthropoda; Insecta; Coleoptera; Cerambycidae
Description: tRNA-Val
Source: RNAcentral
CAGGCUAGAGCUUGGUAUUAAAGCGUUUUAUUUACAUUAAAAAGUUAUUUGUGGAACUCAAUUUAGCUUGA